Molecule: transfer RNA, 76 nt
Filed under: Candidatus Aenigmatarchaeota archaeon
Lineage: Archaea; Nanobdellati; Candidatus Aenigmatarchaeota
Description: tRNA-Pro
Rfam family: tRNA
About the family: Transfer RNA (tRNA) molecules are approximately 80 nucleotides in length.
Source: RNAcentral
GGGGUCGUCGGCUAGCUUGGUAGGCUUCGAGCUUCGGGUGCUUGAGACCUGGGUUCAAAUCCCAGCGACCCCACCA